UUGGAAAUUAUGUGACAAAUGUUUUUGAAAAUCAGUAGCUUACUCAUAUCCGAAUGCAUGUAAGAGUUCAUCUUAUUUUCGGUUUGAAUACUAAAAAUAGGAUUUUCCUGUACACUCUUAUGAAAACUUUUUGAAAAAUGAGUUUCCUCCUUCAAGCAACGAACUAUAACAUAACAAGGAGAAGAGAUAUUCAAAGCAUUAUAUGUGUCAUGCCUUCCUUUAUGUGCUUGAUAACCUGCUGGAAUCACAUCUACCAUGC
Molecule: long non-coding RNA, 259 nt
Filed under: Musa acuminata (dwarf banana)
Lineage: Eukaryota; Viridiplantae; Streptophyta; Magnoliopsida; Zingiberales; Musaceae
Description: long non-coding RNA (MACU_LNC004681)
Source: RNAcentral